AGGACGAACGCUGGCGGCGCGCCUAACACAUGCAAGUCGAGCGAUAACCAGGGCUUGCCCUGGGGACAGCGGCGAACGGGUGCGUAACACGUGAGCAACCUGCCCCAAAGACCGGGACAACCCGAGGAAACUCGGACUAAUACCGGAUGCCCUCACCGGGCCGCAUGGUCUGGUGAGGAAAUGGAUUCCGCUUUGGGAUGGGCUCGCGGUCUAUCAGCUUGUUGGUGGGUAACGCCUACCAAGGCGACGACGGAUAGCUGGUCUGAGAGGACGAUCAGCCACACUGGGACUGAGACACGGCCCAGACUCCUACGGGAGGCAGCAGUGGGGAAUCUUGCGCAAUGGGGAAACCCUGACGCAGCGACGCCGCGUGCGGGAUGAAGGCCUUCGGUUGUAAACCGCUUUCAGCAGGGACGAAAUUGACGGUACCUGCAGAAGAAGGCCCGGCCAACUACGUGCCAGCAGCCGC
This 469-nucleotide ribosomal RNA is filed under the name uncultured bacterium. RNAcentral's name for it is "SSU rRNA". It matches the Rfam family "Bacterial small subunit ribosomal RNA", at positions 26 to 518 of the family's 1533-position model. The record is from RNAcentral.